UUGUCUCAAAGAUUAAGCCAUGCAUGUCUCAGUACAAGCCGAAUUAAGGUGAAACCGCGAAAGGCUCAUUAAAUCAGUUAUGGUUCCUUAGAUCGUACCCACAUUUACUUGGAUAACUGUGGUAAUUCUAGAGCUAAUACAUGCAAACAGAGCUCCAACCGGAAACGGAAGGAGCGCUUUUAUUAGAUCAAAACCAAUCGGUGUCGGUUUCCGUCAUCGUACAACUUGGUGACUCUGAAUAACUUUAAGCUGAUCGCACGGUCUCGCACCGGCGACGCAUCUUUCAAAUGUCUGCCUUAUCAACUGUCGAUGGUAGGUUCUGCGCCUACCAUGGUUGUAACGGGUAACGGGGAAUCAGGGUUCGAUUCCGGAGAGGGAGCCUGAGAAACGGCUACCACAUCCAAGGAAGGCAGCAGGCGCGCAAAUUACCCACUCCCGGCACGGGGAGGUAGUGACGAAAAAUAACGAUACGGGACUCAUCCGAGGCCCCGUAAUCGGAAUGAGUACACUCUAAACCCUUUAACGAGGAUCAAUUGGAGGG
Molecule: ribosomal RNA, 541 nt
Filed under: Uloma queenslandica
Lineage: Eukaryota; Metazoa; Arthropoda; Insecta; Coleoptera; Tenebrionidae
Description: SSU rRNA
Rfam family: Eukaryotic small subunit ribosomal RNA
Source: RNAcentral